GGAAGCCUCGGGCGUGCCUGGUAAGGUCCUGCCGUAUCCGCCUCCUUCUUGUCCAGUUGUGGGAGGGGCUCUGGAGCCCCGGGACUCUAAGAUGGCCAAUGACGGAGACCCGUUGGGCCAGGCCAGGUCGCAGACAAUGUCGACUGUUUGUUUAAGAAGCGUGGACUCUUGUCCUGAGUGUACCGAAGCUUUCAGCCUGCGGGACGGUGGUGCGAUUUGCAUUAGAGAAAGGGAGAUGCCAUGUGCUGGCCCAGCACUCCAAUAGGGGCCUGACCUCUAGGAACCGGACACUGGAGGAAGCCUAGACAUUUGAACAAAUCAAGUCAUCCAGAUCCAUGGUCAGCUCCUGCCCUGACUUGGCCUUCCUCCUGCUGGGCUGGCCCACGGACCUCGGGAACCUGCCCUGGCUGUGGGUGACCUGCAGCCUAUCUCCCAGGACUAUGGAAGCCCCAUGUAGGAACAUGGUUCUAAGACUUUGGGGCUUACACCCUAUGCUUAAAGAACUGGAGAAGCCCCUGAAGUCCCGAGACCACAACCCUCCACCUUCUAAAGAUAAGACAAGUCACUGAAGGUCUCAGAACUGUGGCCCAUCCACCCCUUCCCUCAAGACAAGAGUGUGGCCAAGCAUCAACCUCACCCCCAGAGACCAGACGGUGUCCAGGUCUUGGGCUGAUGAAACCUGCUCCUUGGGGAUGGUCUUUCUGGCCGUGCUUCCAAAGGGCUGGCCUGCAAUCAGCUGGUUUUCACCUGAUCCUUUCGGGGUUUGCAUUUUAUCUGACUGAAGGAAUGAACUGGGAGAGAACAGCAGAGCCACAGCGGAAUGUGGAAAGGUCUACGUCAAGACUGUUCCCAUCCUGAUUUAAAAGCCUGAUGAAGGAACAGCUGAAACCAGAGAAACAGCAGACUUUGAGAAGCACUGGUGUAGAAGACAUUCUAAUAUCUCCUGACUGCACCAAAUUGGGAGCCUAUAGUUAAUUGUGUAGUUAAUUGUAUUCCAAAAUAUUCAUUUGGAAGUCAUUUGGUAAGAAAUUCACAUAUAAAAAAAGGUUAUGCUAGCAAAUAACAGAUGAAAUG
Molecule: long non-coding RNA, 1074 nt
Organism: Mandrillus leucophaeus (drill)
Lineage: Eukaryota; Metazoa; Chordata; Mammalia; Primates; Cercopithecidae
Exons: 7
Source: RefSeq, a predicted model, not a curated record